AGGGUUGCCAGCGGCCUGCCCAGCCCUUAUCUAUACUUUGUCCUUCGGGACUAUGAACAUAAACGCGCUCGUAAUAAGCGGAUCGGACCCGGGGGCGGUACCCGGCGGCUCCACCAAUCACCCUUUAUUAGGGGGCAAUGGGGCCGAAAUAGGAUCGACGAACGUCUAAAGGGGUUAGCUUUGUUCCGGCGAUAUACCACCGUUAUCGGUUCACUCUGUACAAUUGCUAAUAACAAUCGUGCUCCGGCUAUGGCUCUCGCUGCGUAAGCAGUGCGAGUUGCCGAAACUUAAGUCCUUUGGCUUAGCAGCUUAAGGCGGGGUUCGCAGGCACCUGGCAACAGAAGCCUGCACU
This 352-nucleotide transfer-messenger RNA is filed under the name Paracoccaceae bacterium. RNAcentral's name for it is "Rhodobacteraceae bacterium (subsurface metagenome) transfer-messenger RNA". It matches the Rfam family "Alphaproteobacteria transfer-messenger RNA". From Rfam's summary of the family: Bacterial tmRNA, also known as 10Sa RNA or SsrA, is named for its dual tRNA and mRNA-like properties. Its role is to liberate the mRNA from a stalled ribosome. The record is from RNAcentral. Lineage: Bacteria; Pseudomonadati; Pseudomonadota; Alphaproteobacteria; Rhodobacterales; Paracoccaceae.